This 274-nucleotide ribosomal RNA is filed under the name uncultured bacterium. RNAcentral describes it as "partial 16S ribosomal RNA". It matches the Rfam family "Archaeal small subunit ribosomal RNA", at positions 473 to 747 of the family's 1478-position model. The record is from RNAcentral.
AAACCAGCACCUCAAGUGGUCAGGAGGAUUAUUGGGCCUAAAGCAUCCGUAGCCUGUUCUAUAAGUUUCCGGUUAACUCCACUAGCUCAACUAGUGGGCUGCCGAAAAUACUGUAGAACUAGGGAGUGGGAGAGGUAGACGGUAUUCGGUAGGAAGGGGUAAAAUCCUUUGAUCUAUUGAGGACCACCUGUGGCGAAGGCGGUCUACCAGAACACGUUCGACGGUGAGGGAUGAAAGCUGGGGGAGCAAACCGGAUUAGAAACCCCGGUAGUCC